GAGGCCUAGGGGGCUCUGCUCACCACCCGCCCACUGGAGACCCCAUGCAAGCAGAGUCUAAAGGCACCAUGCUGGUGCCUGCUCACUUCGAUGAAAGGUCACUGUCUGGGUGGUCAGGAUGGUGGCAGCACCCACAUGGGGAUGACAUGUGGAGUGAAGUGUCCACCUGCCUGUGUCCACCCAGUGAGGCUGGGAUGAGACCCUGUAGAUGGAUGGCUGGUGACACUUGGGAGCAGCCACAGACAAGCCGAUCACUCAGAGACUUAGGGCCUCACUGGGGAGGCGUGAGAUUUCCUUUAGUCCUUGGACACCAAGUGAACACCACUCUACGCCCGUAUCCAGCAUUGAUGACAAAGAAGACAGAUCCCAAGAAAGGGCUGGUGGGGGUUACACCAUGCCAGGAAAGUUCCUGGGAUUGGGAAUGAGCUAGACUCCACCUAUUGGUUGUGUGACUUGAGAAAGCAACUUAAUCUCUCCAACUUCAUUCAUUCAAUAACUACUCAUCAGGUACUCGCUGCAUGCCAAGCAUUGUUAGAGACUUUCGAUGCAGCCUUUUCUACAAAAUAGGGAUUUUUACCACCUACCUAAUAGGACUGAUGUUAAUUCCAUAAGACAUAAAGCAAUGACUAUAGUACCUGGCCCUCAAUUAAGUGUUGUCCUGCUUGGCCACAUCUUUUGAUGGCAUCUGUCUUCUGAGAUGUUCCCUGGAGGGAGGUUGGUCCUAACUGAGCAGCUCCGAUAAAGAAGCGGACUCCAAGGGAGCUGAGUUCAUCUGGGAGGGGAUUUGUCAUGGCGCCCUGCAGCAUGUCUUUUGGAGGAUCCACCCUCUGCUGAUGGAGAGUCUCCUCACUAAGACUCUGGAGCUCUGGGACUGCAGAGGAAGCCGGCAAGGCCCCGACCAGGCAGCCCUGCUAGGAAGUCCGAGGGAAUUCCUAAAUGGCCAGGGAGAUGGUAGUUCUAGGGAGAUGAGCACACAGCUUAUCAGCUCCACGGUCCAGCCUGGCAGAGACGCCCAAAGCCAGGCCCACUGGUGGUCCCUCCCCAGCUUGCCCCAGAGAGGCAGGGCAGGUUCCCAGGGAUCGUCUUCCCUGAGCUUUUGUGUGGUUCUGUCCCAUUAGGGGAGCCUGGUAAAAUCAGCAGGGCUCUGGGGUCUGGUUCUAGGACUGGCCAGCUUUGAGGCUGGCUGACUGUGUGGUUUUGUGGCAAGUUGCCUAAUGGCUCUGAGACUUAGUUUCCACAUCUGCAAAGUGGGAACUCUAGUGUGCUAUUGGGAGAGUGUCAGGAAGCCCCUGGCACACUCCUGGCACGUGACAGGGAGCUGCUGGUCACCUUCCUUUCUCCACCUCCCAACUUGGCAUUUAGCAGUAUCCUGGCAUUGGGUUUUUUUCCAAUCCAGCUGAUGGUUCAGGCACAAUACUUGCCUUUAGUGGACAUGACAUUGGGCCGCCUGACCAUGUUCCCAAAGCAAAUGGAUCAUGGGCAGCUUGCCCUGGCCCCAGGAAAGCGCAUACAAACUCUCACCACCUGCACCUCAGGACAGCAACUCCAAGACUAGAAUACCUUUUCACCCCUUCUCCCAGCCCCCAAUUCCUUCCUUCCUUCCUCAGGCUGUGUGUUUUUCCACGUGGCUGGCUGGACAUUCUGAAACAGGCAGUAAUGCUGCCACCUUUAUGGACAGCCAGAAAGAAUAAGGAGUCCCUGUGGGGGUCACACCCAAGCAUCCAGCCCAGCCUUUCUGCCUUACUCAGGCUGCCUGGCAUGGAACUUUCUGGAAGGGUUGGAAAGUAGAAUAAGCAGAGGGAUUGAAGUGGGGCAAACAUCAGCCCUUAUGAUAUGCCGGCAACUGUAGGUUCUCCAUUUUUUGGGGUACAUCUACUCUUGCCAAGCAAUGCAAGUCGCUGCCUGGGGCCAGGACAAUAAAAGAGAUAGCUUCAGAGCCAGAGGAAAUCCCAAAGGCCAAGGAGGGCCACACAGGGAGGAUUCCCACUAGACAGAUGGGGAAAGUGAGGCUCUGGGAGGGAAAGGGACCCCCCCACCAAGGUGACACAGGGGAGUCUGGGAACCACUCCAGGGUGACGGUUGAUGCAACAAGUCAUAGAGCCCUCUUAGGUUCUGGUUUUCUAAGAAGGGCCUGGUCACAUGACAGCCUCUGGUAGCAGCGGAGAGUAGUGGUUGGGAACAUGGCUUCUUGUGUUAGACAUCCUGGGGUCAAGCCUGGGCCCUGCUGCUUGCCAGUAUGUGACCUUGGCUGGUGACUCAAUCUCUCUUCUCCCCAUGUUUAAGAUGAGAGGAAUGCUACUGACCUCAUAGAUCAAAUAAGUUAAUAUACAACAUGCUCAGGAACUCAAAACCUAAGCCAAAGUUUUUCAGAAAAAUAAAAAAGUAGUGCAAGCCAC
Long non-coding RNA from Pan troglodytes (chimpanzee), 2396 nucleotides. RefSeq lists it as uncharacterized. NCBI's taxonomy places the organism in Eukaryota, Metazoa, Chordata, Mammalia, Primates, Hominidae. The transcript has 3 exons. The record is from RefSeq and is a predicted model, not a curated record.